GGGCUCACUUUGGCAGCACACAUACUGCAAUGGGGACAACAUAGAAAAGAUUAGUGUGGCCUGUGCACACGGAGGACAUUUAAACUUAUGAAAUGAACUGUAUUUUC
This 107-nucleotide small nuclear RNA is filed under the name Inia geoffrensis (Amazon river dolphin). The record is from RNAcentral. RNAcentral also lists the same sequence under 2 other names. Lineage: Eukaryota; Metazoa; Chordata; Mammalia; Artiodactyla; Iniidae.